CAAGGAUCUGGCACAUUCUCUGCCCAGCCUUUCCCCAUCACUGCUGCAGCAUGCCGCAGCCUGUGCUCUGGAUGGCCCUGGCUCCUCUGCUAGCCGCCCUCAAUGCAGGGAUGGUCACCUUCUCUCCCUGCAGUGGGGCCCACUGCACCAUCCUGUGCCUCAUCACCCGCUCGCCAGGCCAGCACUCCGUGGAGAGAAGCUGCGUGCCAUGCCCCUUUGGCUUUUGGUGUUUGGGUGGCAGGACAACUCUGCAGCCAUGCCCCACCUGCCGAACCUGCGCUGAGCUCCCAGGACUCAUAGACAGCAAGGAGUGCCAGUGGUGCCUGACUAGACAGAAGCCAAGCUCGCAGAAUGCUGGCUACGUCUUCUGCCCCCUGGGAUACUUCUUCACAGACAGAGGCCCCAGCUGCCAGCCCUUCCCCACAGGUAGGUGAGAGCGGGCUGGGGACCUGAAUGACGUUUGGGAAGAACUGGCACAGGUUGGCCCAGGAGAGUGCUGGGGGUCCAUAGUGCUCGGAUUGGCCUGUGUGCCCCGGGGAGUCCAGGUGGUUUCUGAGGGGCGGAGUUCAGCUAUCCCCGAGCCCCAAACACACACCCAAAGGGCUGUGGGGAGAAUGAAAUGAGACAACUCAGAGGGAUGGAAGCAUGCAGAGGGGUGAAGGGCGUGAGCAUCAGAAGAUGGUCCAAGAGCUGGCUCUGCUCUUUAACUGG
RNAcentral lists this long non-coding RNA (711 nucleotides) under Equus caballus (horse). RNAcentral describes it as "lncRNA (ENSECAG00000028327.3)". Lineage: Eukaryota; Metazoa; Chordata; Mammalia; Perissodactyla; Equidae. The record is from RNAcentral.